AGCUGAGCUUCCAUCCCGUCUCACACUGAGCUGGUGCUUCUCCACAGGUGUCUGAUCAGGAGGACGUCUGACAUCCUCUCCAAGUAUCUCCCUGUGAAGAUCGAGCAGGUGGUCUGCUGCAGGCUGACUCCUCUGCAGACGGAGCUCUACAGGCGCUUCCUGAAGCAGGCCAAGCCCACAGAGAAGCUCCAGGAAGGGAAGAUCAGUGUCUCCUCGCUGUCCUCCAUCACCUCGCUCAAGAAGCUGUGCAAUCACCCCAGCCUCAUUUAUGAGAAGUGUGUGGAGGAGGAGGAGGGCUUUGAGGGGGCGCUGGACCUGUUUCCUCCUGGAUUCAGCAGCAAGGCGCUAGAACCUCAGCUGUCUGGUAAGGACCUGCUGGAUGGAGAGGU
Long non-coding RNA from Cyprinodon variegatus (sheepshead minnow), 389 nucleotides. RefSeq lists it as uncharacterized. Lineage: Eukaryota; Metazoa; Chordata; Actinopteri; Cyprinodontiformes; Cyprinodontidae. The record is from RefSeq and is a predicted model, not a curated record. The transcript is spliced from 3 exons.